CUGGUCUGUGUCUGCACAGAACUAACUAGUUGCCACACAAUGGUUGGAAUAAACGGCUUGGGAUAAUCUGAAGUGAAAAUAUUUCCAGCUCCAAAUUUGAGGCCAGUGGCAAGCCAGAGGAAAAAGUCAUAUCUAUCCACCAAAGAAACCCUCCAGCCCAGUGCCCUAAGAAUACACCCUGGCUAGACGACUGGCCUGAGGAGGAUGAGAAACAUGGGAUCAUCUGAUCCGAGCCAACAUCCAAACAUGACAGAAGAAAGAAGACAGACCUUCAGCCCCCCAACAACAGGUGCCUCAAGAAUGGACGGUGAUCGCCAUCUAGUGGCCUCCAACUGAAAGCACAGCAAAUUGAGCCAAAGGCACCAGACUUCAUUUCUAACUUCCUAUUCCCAGUAUACACCUUUCUCAUUCCUGCAAAGCAGCACUGUGCCUGAGAAAGAGCACCCCACAGACUUGAGUUCAAGCCCCAACUCUGCCCUCGACCAACUCUGAACUCUAGGGAAGACACUCAGUCUCCCUAAACAUCAAGUUCCUCCUCUGGAAAGUGGAUCGGUAUUGCCCCGUGGGAUGGGCGUCGACUCUGAUAUGAAACAGAACUGCAUUCGUGCACUGAGUACCAACACGGCUUUUCUGAACUUC
Suricata suricatta (meerkat) is the source of this 639-nucleotide long non-coding RNA. RefSeq lists it as uncharacterized. The record is from RefSeq and is a predicted model, not a curated record. The transcript has 5 exons. NCBI's taxonomy places the organism in Eukaryota, Metazoa, Chordata, Mammalia, Carnivora, Herpestidae.